Molecule: long non-coding RNA, 546 nt
Filed under: Arabidopsis lyrata
Lineage: Eukaryota; Viridiplantae; Streptophyta; Magnoliopsida; Brassicales; Brassicaceae
Description: long non-coding RNA (ALYR_LNC002678)
Source: RNAcentral
UUUUUUUCUCAUAAAUGUUACCAUAUUAUACGAACUAAAAAUUACAAGGUUCACUGUUACAAAAGUGGAAGCUUCCACAAGCACACAACAUACACCAUCAGAUUAUCUAAUGGUUACGAUAAUCAUACUACACAAGUGUACAAAAACAUCUAAAGAUUUCACCUCUCCGUGAAAUUCUGGAAAUGAUCUGCCAAAAAAAAUUCCAAAGAUCACUUCCCAUUAUUCAACGUCGUUUUUGUUGUUUGCAUCAAAACAGAGUACCUAAACAUCAUCUUCAAAAAACCAAUUUUGAAGUUGGUGAAUCUUCCAAGAAAUAGACGUUGGGGAAUCUUCUAUGAGAAUAGAAAUGAAUGAAUCUCCCAAGCAUAAGUAUUAUGGAGAUAUUAAAAAGGAAAUUGUUAGCAGUAAUCACAAGAAGUUUUACGAGCCUAAUACCGAGGGAUUCUGAAACCUCUAAAGAAAAGAUAAGUCUGAACACUCUGCGAAAAAACUUAUUUAUAGAAAAACAUUGAACUAAAAGCAUAAUAAAGAAUCAAAUUGUGAGUA